GACGAACGCUGGCGGCGUGCCUAACACAUGCAAGUCGAGCGGAGUCGAUCGACGGAAGCCUUCGGGCGGAAGAUGGUUGACUUAGCGGCGGAUGGGUGAGUAACGCGUGGGCAACCUGCCUCGAAGACCGGGAUAACAGCCCGAAAGGGCUGCUAAUACCGGAUGUGGUCAAGGAUCCGCAUGGAUUUUUGAUUAAAGGGGAAACCCGUUUCGAGAUGGGCCCGCGUCCUAUCAGCUAGUUGGUGAGGUAAAAGCUCACCAAGGCGACGACGGGUAGCCGGCCUGAGAGGGUGACCGGCCACACUGGAACUGAGACACGGUCCAGACUCCUACGGGGGCAGCAGUGGGGAAUCUUCCACAAUGGGCGAAAGCCUGAUGGAGCGACGCCGCGUGAGCGAAGAAGGCCUUCGGGUUGUAAAGCUCUGUCUGGAGGGACGAAGGAAGUGACGGUACCUCCGGAGAGCCACGGCUAACUACGUG
RNAcentral lists this ribosomal RNA (480 nucleotides) under uncultured bacterium. RNAcentral's name for it is "bacterial SSU rRNA". It matches the Rfam family "Bacterial small subunit ribosomal RNA", at positions 28 to 507 of the family's 1533-position model. The record is from RNAcentral.